Molecule: ribosomal RNA, 325 nt
Filed under: uncultured bacterium
Lineage: Bacteria
Description: bacterial SSU rRNA
Rfam family: Bacterial small subunit ribosomal RNA
Source: RNAcentral
UCAGGCCUAACACAUGCAAGUCGUACGGGAGUUUUUAACUCUAGUGGCGGACGGGUGAGUAACACGUAAGAAUUUGCCUUUAGGAGGGGGACAACAACUGGAAACGGUUGCUAAUACCCCAUAUGCUUUCGAGUGAAAUGGAUUUCCGCCUAAAGAGAAGCUUGCGGCUGAUUAGCUUGUUGGUGAGGUAAUGGCUCACCAAGGCGACGAUCAGUAUCUGGUUUGAGAGGACGAUCAGACACACUGGAACUGAGACACGGUCCAGACUCCUACGGGAGGCAGCAGUGGGGAAUUUUCCGCAAGGGGCGAAAGCCUGACGGAGCAA